Long non-coding RNA from Syngnathus acus (greater pipefish), 1345 nucleotides. RefSeq lists it as uncharacterized. Lineage: Eukaryota; Metazoa; Chordata; Actinopteri; Syngnathiformes; Syngnathidae. The record is from RefSeq and is a predicted model, not a curated record. The transcript has 2 exons.
CAGAACAAGAUGACCAUGACCAUGUUCCUGGCUGUGGUGAAGGAACUUUUCAAUCUCCUGCCAGAGAGUCCGUCACCUUCCACUGGGAAAAGGGCCGCCUGCUGGUGCUCUUCAUGCCACUUUCCCACCUUAUGAGCAUGACAGCAUCACAGGGAUCACCACCAGGAAGAUAAAGACUCGCAUAAAAGUAUCAUGGAUUAUCUCCUUGGAAGAAGAAAAAGUUUAGGGUAAGGAUUUGUGAAUCUUGAUGAAACUCAUACAUAAAGCAAUCACAGCGUCAGGAACCUUGUUAUAAUAUCUGCCGGUUGGGCAGUUUUCUCAAUUUACUGUUGUCUGUCUAUAUAGCCUGGUUCAGAAGCAGAAUCGCGACAAGAUGCAACAAAAUUAAAUCGAAGUCUGUAUUGCCCUACAUCCAAAAAGAGGUCAAAGGGUGGAUCGCUCGACUUAGCUUAGCAAUGCUCUGGGCUUACUGCUUCAAAUUUGACCAUACAGGGACAAAGUCUCUUGAUUUACUUGGAAAUGGCCCAAAUCACUGUAAAAUGACUCCUUAGUACAAAAAUGGCAGACUUCCUGUAAGACUUCUUCGAAUAAGCAUAAAAUGGCAGGUUUCCUAUGUUAUGUUUUCUUCUUGAUACAGUUUUGUUUAUUUCUAUCAAAUUUUCAUGUUGCUAAACAUACAGUCUCAGGGGACAGUUAUAAAAAAAAGUCUGACAAUACCUAUUUCCAAGGUCCUGGAAAUAGCCGUAGUGAGCUUUUCAUUUUUACACAAAAGUUUAUCUGACUUUUUGGGAAUUGCUUCUUUUUUGCAAAGGCACUCAUGAUAAAUAUUUUUACCAAAUUUGAUGCUAAUUUGAAAGUGGUUUCUGGGGUUGAAUUGUCAAGGACAAGAUGUCUGACAAGUUUCACUUUAAGGGGCCCCUGAAAAUGGCCAAAUGAAGGCUAAAAUGACAAAACGGACGAUAUCUGGCGUCUUUUCGGGCAUUGUUCCUGGUACUCUUGUAGUCUACUAACAGACAUGGCAACAUUUGGUCUUGUUCAGAUCUUGUGAAGUUUAGAUUCAAAAUAUUGAUUCAAGGACUAAAAACAGUUUUGAUACUCACAACAUCUGAGCAGGAAUCUAUCCAGAUGUGCAUGAACAAAAUACAACUGAGGAUAAAAACAAGACAACAAAAGAGGUGAGAAAACAUUGUCAUGUCUGCGUAAAAUUCCAAAUUUGAUGAUGACCUGGUGCAGUAUUUAGCAUUGUCCUGGAUGCUGGUGCUUCGGGGGUCAGGAAUCAAAGGAGUGGCUCGGAUGAAAGGUGUUAGCACGUACGCCAAGUAAACGGCACCGGGGAUCAACCUAA